CGCCGCUGCAAUUUUUCAGAUCGAUUUGGCCGUAGAAGAAGACAUCCACAACUCAUAGAUCCCUCUCAUAUCUCUUUCGUCAAAUCAAAUCUGCCACGAGGGGCUUCAAUCCCAGCAAUUUCAGCCUUCUCUCAACGAAUGUAACAACUAUUAGAUUAUUUAAUCAACGUUUACACAACUUGAUAAGAAGGUAACAACUAUUAUAUUUUUUGGUUAAUUAUUAUCAAUUUGUUAUGUUUUAUGUAUUGGUUCAAUUAAGCUAAAGGGCUUUUUGGAUCUGGAUUUGUUUAUUUUAUUUUUGAGAAAGGAUAUUUUGAAUUUGGUUAAUGUUUUAUUGUUUUAUUGUUUAAAUAAUGUAGACAACUAUUUAUUCAUUAUUUUUUUAUUGUUUUUACGAUCUUAAUUUACUUUAGAAAACAUAAACUGAUAAAUAAUGAAUAAUGUCAUCGGAAAAACAACACAGUAAUAUAAAAACAACACAUUAAUUGGCAAUUUGUGGAUAAAUAAUGGACUUUCUUGUUCAUUUUUUAGUGGACUUCUGUUUUUAUUAUUGUUCUUCUGGACAUUAAACCAAAACAUAAAUCUUAUAUGUUUGUGUUAUUGUUCUUCUGUUGCAUUGUAUAGUGGACUUCGUUAAUUUCAUAGUCGAUUUCGAUAAAUUUAUAGUGGAUUUUGAUAAUUAUAUACAAAGUGGUUUUCGAUGAAUUUGUAGUGAAUUUUGAUAAGUAUAUAAAGUGGUUUUCGUGUUUAUAUAGCUAUUUAUACAUAGUGGUUUUCAUGUUUAUAUAGUUAUUUAUGCAUAGUGGUUUUCAUUGUUGUUCCCUGAUUCAUUUUUUGUUUCAACAAAUCGAUGCAAUAUUAGUAGGUUGAAAAAUUUUUGUUUAUGAAAGUUUUCAAAAUUACCAAGAUGGUGUGACACCAAGGUUUUAUUUGGAAAAUGGUUUUCAUUUGCUAAUUAAUUUUUUUUCUUAUUCAGAUUGAUUUAGUGACCUUCGUCGGCUUUGUUGGUGGUGGUGUACUGGUCUUGCACUUCUUACUGGACAUAGUAGUGGUUUACGUUUCAAAUAGUGAAUUUUCGAAUAGUGAAUUUACAUUUUUUUUUGUUUGGUAGUUUUGUGUUGUGU
RNAcentral lists this long non-coding RNA (1124 nucleotides) under Erythranthe guttata (spotted monkey flower). RNAcentral's name for it is "long non-coding RNA (EGUT_LNC003417)". Lineage: Eukaryota; Viridiplantae; Streptophyta; Magnoliopsida; Lamiales; Phrymaceae. The record is from RNAcentral.